RNAcentral lists this unclassified non-coding RNA (200 nucleotides) under Pleosporales sp. RNAcentral describes it as "partial internal transcribed spacer 2". The record is from RNAcentral. Lineage: Eukaryota; Fungi; Ascomycota; Dothideomycetes; Pleosporales.
UUAAGUUCAGCGGGUAUCCCUACCUGAUCCGAGGUCAAAGUAAAAAAAGAGGCUUAAUGGAAAGAGGUCUACUAGAAUCGUGACGCAAUGUGCUGCGCACGAAGCCAACAUACCGGCUGCCAAUAAAUUUAAGGUGAGUCCACGCACUAAAGCGGAACAAACACCCAACACCAAGCAGAGCUUGAAGGUUUAAAUGACGC